Dendronephthya gigantea is the source of this 1045-nucleotide long non-coding RNA. RefSeq lists it as uncharacterized. Lineage: Eukaryota; Metazoa; Cnidaria; Anthozoa; Malacalcyonacea; Nephtheidae. The record is from RefSeq and is a predicted model, not a curated record. The transcript is spliced from 5 exons.
GUUAUUUAUAACCUCUAUGCUUCUCUCGAUCUAUUCAAUAUGGUGGUCAGUCAAGAAAUGUUUUUGCUUGCAAAAAGAUCGUAAAAUGUUGGCGCUACAAACUCGGAAAAGAUUGUAAAUGAGAUCAGGAUAACAAGAAGGAAGUAUCCAAACAAAUUCAAAGAUGACUAAUUUUAACAUGGUUCAUAAGAAAGUCCUUCCUUGAAAACCUACUUCAGUCAUUGGUCGUCUGAUGGCGAUUAAUAUGGAAUCUCAUGAACGGUUGUUUAUCACUGAAGCUAAAGAAUUGAGAUACAACAAUCUUUGACUGACUUUAGGUGUUAGACGUUCGCCCAGCUAUUGUAGACCGCAUGGAAUCGAUUCAAGUCCUUUAAAAAUUUGUGAAUCAAGAUGAGAAUGAACUUAGUGAAUCUGUAAUUGCUGCUAUAUGUUUUGGCUAAAAUAUAAAAAAAAAACUGUUGUAUGUCUCCAAAACAAAGGAGCUUAUAUAUAAUAUGAUACCAAAAAGUACAGGAUUGUUUGACAUCAGAAAUACAAAGAAUUCAGCACACAGCGACAAUUUACCUUUUAAAACGAAACCAAAAAACUAGAAGCAAAAAACAAAUUGUGCUUCAAAACAAAACUAGAAUGCACUGCUUUUAAAAGGUUGAUAUAUAGGAAAGGACAACUUUUUUCUAGGCGUUUAGUGAUUCGUUUAUAGUAACAUCGCUCACGAUGAUGUUCGGAGUUGAUCGGUAUGUUGUCGUACAUUAUCAUACCACGUGAUCUGCUAUGAUCACAUGGUAAUUAUCGCCUAUAAAAGUAAUCUCAACGUUAAAAAAAAAUUUCUUCGAAUAUGUGGCGAUCGAAGGUGGACAGCAAGAUCGAAGCUCAGCAAGAUUGAAGAUUGUUCGAGGAAGAAGGAGUUCGCCGUUGACUAAAAGGUUUAUCUGAACAGCUAGUUGUCAAGAUGAAUGUGAAGACUCGCCCGGCCAAAUUCAAAAUGGCGAUGCCAAAGAAAACCAUCCACGUGGACCGUUCGCGGACCUUUCUGAGCAAGAUUGUU